Molecule: ribosomal RNA, 433 nt
Filed under: uncultured bacterium
Lineage: Bacteria
Description: partial 16S ribosomal RNA
Rfam family: Bacterial small subunit ribosomal RNA
Source: RNAcentral
AACGAACGCUGGCGGCAUGCCUAACACAUGCAAGUCGAACGAGACCUUCGGGUCUAGUGGCGCACGGGUGCGUAACGCGUGGGAACCUGCCCUUAGGUUCGGAAUAACUCCCCGAAAGGGGUGCUAAUACCGGAUAAUGUCUUCGGACCAAAGAUUUGUCGCCUUUGGAUGGGCCCGCGUUGGAUUAGCUUGUUGGUAGGGUAAAAGCCUACCAAGGCGACGAUCCAUAGCUGGUCUGAGAGGAUGAUCAGCCACACUGGGACUGAGACACGGCCCAGACUCCUACGGGAGGCAGCAGUGGGGAAUAUUGGACAAUGGGCGAAAGCCUGAUCCAGCAAUGCCGCGUGAGUGAUGAAGGCCUUAGGGUUGUAAAGCUCUUUUACCCGGGAUGAUAAUGACAGUACCGGGAGAAUAAGCUCCGGCUAACUCCGUG